RNAcentral lists this ribosomal RNA (497 nucleotides) under uncultured bacterium. RNAcentral describes it as "partial 16S ribosomal RNA". It matches the Rfam family "Bacterial small subunit ribosomal RNA", at positions 28 to 507 of the family's 1533-position model. The record is from RNAcentral.
GAUGAACGCUGGCGGCGUGCCUAAUACAUGCAAGUCGAGCGAACAGAUGAGGAGCUUGCUCCUCUGACGUUAGCGGCGGACGGGUGAGUAACACGUGGAUAACCUACCUAUAAGACUGGGAUAACUACGGGAAACCGGAGCUAAUACCGGAUAAUAUAUUGAACCGCAUGGUUCAAUAGUGAAAGACGGUUUUGCUGUCACUUAUAGAUGGAUCCGCGCCGCAUUAGCUAGUUGGUAAGGUAACGGCUUACCAAGGCAACGAUGCGUAGCCGACCUGAGAGGGUGAUCGGCCACGCUGGAACUGAGACACGGUCCAGACUCCUACGGGAGGCAGCAGUAGGGAAUCUUCCGCAAUGGGCGAAAGCCUGACGGAGCAACGCCGCGUGAGUGAUGAAGGUCUUCGGAUCGUAAAACUCUGUUAUUAGGGAAGAACAAAUGUGUAAGUAACUAUGCACGUCUUGACGGUACCUAAUCAGAAAGCCACGGCUAACUACGUG